Molecule: long non-coding RNA, 496 nt
Organism: Suricata suricatta (meerkat)
Lineage: Eukaryota; Metazoa; Chordata; Mammalia; Carnivora; Herpestidae
Exons: 2
Source: RefSeq, a predicted model, not a curated record
CGGGGCGAGCGGUUGGGGGCGGAGCUCGGCGAACUCCUGAGGCGGGGCCAGACGAGGAGGCGGGGCUUCUAUGGAGUUCGUACAGUUUACAAACCCAGCAUGAGGAAAUUGAGGAUUAGAGAAGAGACUUGCCCAAGUUGAAGAGAGAACCAAGACUGGACCUCAGGACCUUUCAUUGUAAAACCCAUUUGCCUCCCGGGGACUUGGGGUUUGAAUCAGAUCAUGUUCCUCUUCCUAGACUCCUACUCUAUAAUUCUAUUAGUGCAUCCCCUCUCUCUUCAAGGUUGUCUAAUCCACUGUGUAUGCUUAAAUUGUCAAUGCAGAGCCAACAAUCUAGCUGGGAAGGGCUUGGGCCAUAAACCAUCAAAGAUUGAAAGAAUCUAAGCGAUUGGUCCAAUCCAAUCAUUUAAAAAAUUAUUUUUAGUGUGAAAUAUACAUACAGAAGUGUAUAAAACACAUUUAUCUUAAACAAUAAAGAACAACUGUGCAACUAGUA